CCUACGGGAGGCAGCAGUAGGGAAUCUUCGGCAAUGGGGGCAACCCUGACCGAGCAACGCCGCGUGAGUGAAGAAGGUUUUCGGAUCGUAAAGCUCUGUUGUAAGUCAAGAACGAGUGUGAGAGUGGAAAAUUCACACUGUGACGGUAGCUUACCAGAAAGGGACGGCUAACUACGUGCCAGCAGCCGCGGUAAUACGUAGGUCCCGAGCGUUGUCCGGAUUUAUUGGGCGUAAAGCGAGCGCAGGCGGUUUGAUAAGUCUGAAGUUAAAGGCUGUGGCUCAACCAUAGUUCGCUUUGGAAACUGUCAAACUUGAGUGCAGAAGGGGAGAGUGGAAUUCCAUGUGUAGCGGUGAAAUGCGUAGAUAUAUGGAGGAACACCGGUGGCGAAAGCGGCUCUCUGGUCUGUAACUGACGCUGAGGCUCGAAAGCGUGGGGAGCGAACAGGAUUAGAUACCCGAGUAGUC
RNAcentral lists this ribosomal RNA (465 nucleotides) under uncultured Streptococcus sp. Its description in RNAcentral is "bacterial SSU rRNA". It matches the Rfam family "Bacterial small subunit ribosomal RNA", at positions 338 to 795 of the family's 1533-position model. The record is from RNAcentral. Lineage: Bacteria; Bacillati; Bacillota; Bacilli; Lactobacillales; Streptococcaceae.